UGGGGGAUAUUGCGCAAUGGGGGCAACCCUGACGCAGCAACGCCGCGUGAAGGAUGAAGGUUUUCGGAUUGUAAACUUCUUUUAUUAAGGACGAAAAAUGACGGUACUUAAUGAAUAAGCUCCGGCUAACUAUGUGCCAGCAGCCGCGGUAAUACGUAGGGAGCAAGCGUUGUCCGGAUUUACUGGGUGUAAAGGGUGCGUAGGCGGCUUUGCAAGUCAGAUGUGAAAUCUAUGGGCUCAACCCAUAAACUGCAUUUGAAACUGUAGAGCUUGAGUGAAGUAGAGGCAGGCGGAAUUCCCCGUGUAGCGGUGAAAUGCGUAGAGAUGGGGAGGAACACCAGUGGCGAAGGCGGCCUGCUGGGCUUUAACUGACGCUGAGGCACGAAAGCGUGGGUAGCAAACAGGAUUAGAUACCCUGGUAGUCCACGCUGUAAACGAUGAUUACUAGGUGUGGGGGGUCUGACCCCUUCCGUGCCGGAGUUAACACAAUAAGUAAUCCACCUGGGGAGUACGGCCGCAAGGUUGAAACUCAAAGGAAUUGACGGGGGCCCGCACAAGCAGUGGAGUAUGUGGUUUAAUUCGAAGCAACGCGAAGAACCUUACCAGGUCUUGACAUCCAACUAACGAAGUAGAGAUACAUUAGGUGCCCUUCGGGGAAAGUUGAGACAGGUGGUGCAUGGUUGUCGUCAGCUCGUGUCGUGAGAUGUUGGGUUAAGUCCCGCAACGAGCGCAACCCUUGCUAUUAGUUGCUACGCAAGAGCACUCUAAUAGGACUGCCGUUGACAAAACGGAGGAAGGUGGGGACGACGUCAAAUCAUCAUGCCCCUUAUGACCUGGGCUACACACGUACUACAAUGGAUGUUAACAGAGGGAAGCAAGACAGCGAUGUGGAGCAAACCCCUAAAAACAUUCUCAGUUCAGAUUGCAGGCUGCAACCCGCCUGCAUGAAGAUGGAAUUGCUAGUAAUCGCGGAUCAGCAUGCCGCGGUGAAUACGUUCCC
RNAcentral lists this ribosomal RNA (1000 nucleotides) under uncultured bacterium. RNAcentral describes it as "bacterial SSU rRNA". It matches the Rfam family "Bacterial small subunit ribosomal RNA", at positions 355 to 1375 of the family's 1533-position model. RNAcentral also lists the same sequence under 1 other name. The record is from RNAcentral.